CCUACGGGCGGCAGCAGUGGGGAAUAUUGCACAAUGGGGGAAACCCUGAUGCAGCGACGCCGCGUGAGUGAAGAAGUAAUUAGUUAUGUAAAGCUCUAUCAGCAGGGAAGAAAAUGACGGUACCUGAGUAAGAAGCCCCGGCUAACUACGUGCCAGCAGACGCGGUACUACGUAGGGGGCAAGCGUUAUCCGGAUUUACUGGGUGUAAAGGGAGCGUAGACGGCAUGUCAGGUCUGGAGUGAAAGGCGGGGGCUCAACCCCCGGACUGCACUUGAAACUGUACGGCUGGAGUGCAGUAGAGGUAAGUGGAAUUCCUGGUGUAGCGGUGAAAUGCGUAGAUAUUAGGAGGAACACCAGUUGCGAAGGCGGCUUACUGGACUGUAACUGACGUUGAUGCUCGAAAGCGUGGGUAGCAAACAGGAUUAGAUACCCUUGUAGUC
Molecule: ribosomal RNA, 440 nt
Filed under: uncultured bacterium
Lineage: Bacteria
Description: partial 16S ribosomal RNA
Rfam family: Bacterial small subunit ribosomal RNA
Source: RNAcentral